GAGUUGGGACUAUUAAGAUUAGUCAUCUAUUGAUCUGCGCUUUAAUUUACAUGUCCCUAAUUUAACUUGCAAUCUUCUUUCCAUUAGUAAAUUGACUAGAGAUUUAAAGUGUGGUGUUCAUUUUACUGAGUCUAUGUGCAUUUUUUUCAGGACCUGAUUUUCGGGGAAGAGGAUUGGCAAUGCUAAAGAUUGUGAGGACUAUUUUGAAGAAGAAGCCAUCUUGAAUAAACAAGCUCAAACCACGAGUUAAGCGCUAUGGGAGGAGAUGGUGGCGGACCACAGGCUCGCACCGACGAGGCUGGAGGACCCAGCAGAGCUCUCGCUCCAUUCUUCUUCCAAGUAGGAAACCAACGGCUUACCUCCCUCUCCAUCGCUGCCUCUCUUUUGUGGUUCAGGUGUUUAUAAGAUGGGUUAGCUGUGAUGGAUUGUUCAUUCUUGGACAGAAUCAGCUGGAAGGUCUCUGAUGCAAGCCUGGCUUAAUAUUAGAAGUAGGUGCAAACAGCUCUAACGCAUAACUGAUACGCAAGAGACUGCCCUAGGAGCUACUGAGCAGCACUGGAAAACAAUUCUGAUUGGAGCAUAACAGUGUAAUCAUUAAACCAACAAUUCAUUGUUCAUUUAUAUAUUAGUUUGCACCCACCUUAUUAGGGCAGCUAACCUGUUAACUUGCUAGUAGGACAAAUAACAGCAAAAGGCAAUUUUAUUAUAUAGGAAGUUUUGCACAUACUGCAAUGCUAUCAGGAUCUAUAUGUUUGUGGAUGCAUUAGACAUUUCAUGCACGGGAUAGAUUGAUAUCUUCUUCUUUGGGUAAAGACUGUUAGGGUAUCUGUUGCAGAGGUAGAUACGGAGGUAAGUAUCUAGGAAGUAUGGUACUCAAAUGGUUCCCCACAAUUAACUCAUCUUGGCCACUGAGGUGCAAGUAAUGCACCUGCCUGUCAGGAAGAAUUUAUCCCACACAGGAUGCUUGGAGAUGAGUGCCUAAUGGGUGGCCGUGAUACUAUCCGAAAACACAAUCUUUUAUGCUGAUUUUCUUUUCCUGAAGUUUGAUACAUGCACUCAAUUUUGGUCGAUCAUUCUGUCAUUUGUUCUUGUGUAUAUGAAUAGUAUAAUAAUAUUUUACAGAGUUGAGAGCCG
Phoenix dactylifera (date palm) is the source of this 1134-nucleotide non-coding RNA. NCBI's taxonomy places the organism in Eukaryota, Viridiplantae, Streptophyta, Magnoliopsida, Arecales, Arecaceae. The record is from RefSeq and is a predicted model, not a curated record.